Molecule: long non-coding RNA, 810 nt
Filed under: Gallus gallus (chicken)
Lineage: Eukaryota; Metazoa; Chordata; Aves; Galliformes; Phasianidae
Description: lncRNA (ENSGALG00010005852.1)
Source: RNAcentral
CUCUCUUCCACUAUUUGCAGAUUGUGCAUGGCAGCAACAGGGCUGUAAUCCAACCAAAGGGAGGCCUUCGGAGCGAGAAACACAAUUUGGGACUUCAAUAAGAGGAGAGCUUUGCGGUGUUUGGUUUUUGAAGUAAUAUUAAGUGCUGUUAGGUCGUGGUCCAUGAUUUAGAUGGUUUCUUUGAGGAAUGUUGACAGUGUUCUCAUCCAGCCUAUCUAAUCGUGAGUACUUCAUAGGAAAAACUGUUUUGUUGCUUUAUUUUUCCUACCCCCAGAAGGCUGCUUUUUCAUUUCUUUUUUCCUCUUAUGGAACAUUUCCAGGUUUGAAAGUCGGCCUUGUGAAUGUUGUCUUUCAGAAAGCAUUGGGCUCUGUCAUGCUGGGCUUUGCUCAGAUGAGAGUUUGGGGUAAGAGAUGAGGAAGGAGGAGGACAACUGGAACGUAGGUACAAUGUUCUGGGUGUGAUGGCAACACGGAGUGUGGGAGGAGUCAGAUGGAAAGGAUCCGCUAAGUGGCAGGCUGGCCCGUGAGAUGGGGGGGAUCGGGCAGGAAAGGAUCUUAAAAGGACAGACGCAAGCAUGUCUGCUAACCUGGAUUUAAUCUGCUUUCGCAACUGUUCUUUUGGCUUUAUAGUAGCACAAGCAGCCGAAGAUCUCCUGUUGGAGUCAGUGCUUUCCCAAAGGGAUCCCAUCUUCCUGUCAUUCAGGCUUCCUCUGAGAGGCCCUGGCGUGCCCAACGUACUCACCUCUCUGAGCACUGGCACUGUGCAUGUUACUGAGGAUGAUUGUUCUUGGGAAGAAUCCAGUCCACAGU